Long non-coding RNA from Mus musculus (house mouse), 28809 nucleotides. RefSeq annotates it as predicted gene, 51929. Lineage: Eukaryota; Metazoa; Chordata; Mammalia; Rodentia; Muridae. The record is from RefSeq and is a predicted model, not a curated record. The transcript is spliced from 2 exons.
UCCACCUCUGGAGUACUGAGGUUACAGGCAUGUGUCACCAUGCCUCUUUCUGAGGUGCUGGGAAUUGGACCCAGGACCACGUUAGGUAAGUGUUCUACCAACUGAGUUGCACCCCAGCCCCUCUUUCCUGGUUUUGUUUUUGUUUGUUUUGUUUUGUUUUGUUUUGUUUUGUUUUUACUGCUAGAACUCUCUGGCUAGCGAAGUAUUCAAAGUAGGCUCCAGGUUCUACAGAAACCCCUGGCAGGCAUGUGGUCCACUCUGGCCACCGGUCUGGGCUGUACUGUGCAUUGUGGGGUGUGUUUGGUUAAGUGCAUAGAUUCUUUUGUUCUCCAAGAUACUGCUUACCUCUUCUGUGGUUUGCAGCAAGUCUCCAACCUUAGUUAAGUCUUUCCCGGUGGGUGGAGUCUAAGAGGCCCCAUCCCUCUCCCCUACCCCUCCUCCCCUCCUCUCUUCCUCCCAGGGGACUUGGCUGAUGCAUCCCAGGCCUGGCCUGCUGUAGCCCAAAAUAGAAGGGAAGGUGGGGCAGCUGGGAGGGGGGGGGGCGGUGGCGGGGGAAGAUGCCACUGGCAGGGGCCUGGCCAGCCAACAAAAGGGUCCAGGACAACAUGAUGGAUGGAUGAGCACAUGUGAUAGGAGGGACCACACAAUAGCUCCGAUUUCAGACACCGGCCUUCCCCACGCCUGCAAACAGCUGACAGCCAUGGAAAGCGGAUGAAAUGGGAUUAGAACAACCUUUCUCCAAAGGCAGCAAAGACUGCAGAGCGUGACAAUACUGUCCCUGUCCGGCCAGCUUCCCGGAUGAUUCUGCCAGCCUGGAACCAUCCCUCCCAGUGGGGCCCAGGGCCAGGGACCUGGAGAGUGGGGGAGGGGAGGGACAGGACAGAGAGCAGCCACCAUUGGUGUCUCCAGGGAGACCAGGCAUGGAGCCACAGAGAGCCCUGGCUCCUGCAAAGGUCACCUUGUCCAUCUUCCUGCCCCCUGCCUGGCCCCAGGAUUAUGGAGUCUUUGCAGGCUUGUACCACGGUUAGGCCGCCUUCACUCAACUCUGCAGGGGCCUGACUAACAAAUCCCUGGGGCCAGCUCCCCGUACCCCCUCCUUCCCAGCGUGACAGGCAAACCCCAGCAUGUCUGUAUCAGGUGGCAUCAUUUUGCCCACAAAAUAGUCAUGGUGCACAGUCCUGAGCUGCUGCCUAUGGAGAAGCCAGCAUGCUAUUGUUGUUGCUGUUAUUAUUAUUGUGUUCUUGACAUCAUUGCUGUUUGUCUACUGUGUCUAUAUAUCCAUUCCAUCCUUUGGCUCAAACUUCCAUACCGUUCAAGGACCAGGCUGAAGGGAGGGGGACCUGAGUCAAAGAAGUAGGGCCACCCUACCAUCAUUGACCGUAUCGUGAUCUGCCAAAGACCCAUUCUUGGCCCCCUUCACCCUCUACCCCAACAGGACCCAUGAAACAGUGAGGGAUUGUGGGACCUUCUGAUCUAGCUUGUAGCCGCACGCAUCCAGGUCACGGCUGGCCGCUGUGUAUUUGUGUUCAUCUUCCCUUGCUUGAAGAGGCUGCGGCAGGGGUGAAAGGAAUUGAUGUUUAUUUUGAUAACGAGUUCUCAAUGCGUUUGCAAACUAAUAAAAUCAACUCAUUAGGCUGCAUGUUUAAUUCACAACUGUACUGUGGGGAGCCUUCCCUGGUGGCUGAUGGGUAAUGUGGGCUCCCUCCUGAGAUGGGGGGAAGUGUCUUCGGUACUUAAACUCUCUAUGACCAGCAGCACGAGAAGAGGAGGAGCCCUGCUCUUUCUCCCCACGAAGGUCCAGCCCAAGAAGUAGUCUGAGCCCAAAGCCAGAAGACAGCUUUCGCUGUCUCUGGCCUCUGGUAGCAUACCCCCACAUGUUGGCUAAGGGGACAGAAGAGCGAAGAUGGCAAGGAUCUGGUCCUGAGGGCGUAGGUGUAAGUAGAGUCGAUGGAUUCUUGAGAGCUAACGUCGAACAGGAAACAUCCUUAACUGAGUCAUGUGACGUGGGACCCUAGUGGCUCUUUCCAUGAAAGCCCAGUAAGCAAAAGUGAAGGGGUCGCCGGGCGUGGUGGCGCAUGCCUUUCAUCCCAGCACUCGGGAGCCAGAGGCAGGCAGAUUUCUAAGUUCGAGGCCAGUCUGGUCUACAGAGUGAGUUCCAGGACAGCCAGGGCUACACAGAGAAACCCUGUCUCAACUCCCCUCCCAAAAAAGUGAAGGGAUCAGGGUCAGGUGAGGAGAUCAGGGGUCAUUUAUAGGGUACCAAGUCUAGGAGCCGUAGUAACUCGGUCUCAUAAUGACAGAUCUUAGACCCCUCUCUCCUUAGUACAUGUUCUACUAACCACGGGAGCAGAGAAUACCAAACUCAGAAGGUAGACCCCCGCCUGGACUGUGUUGUGUUUCUCUUAUACACUGCCCCAGGGCUCUGGUCAUUGAGGAGGGUAGUCACAGAAAACAGCUCAAGGGGGCCCUAAGGAGAGUCCCUGGUCAUAGUAGACCCUGGCCCAGCUAUGGAGAGGAUUUUGGCUCCACCAUCCUCCUCUUAGAAAAGCUCUGGGUUCUGAGAUGGACUGGGUCCUCCUAUAUGAUGGUCCCCCACCUCAGGAAUGUCAAAGCAUUGAAUGACAGGUGGGUGCUAACCUAAAUCUUCUACCUUCCCCUAGGAGAAAGCAAGUCAUUUAUGUCCCUCCAAGCUUGUGAGCUUGGGUGCUGGGCUCUUGGGAGCUGGGUAUCUCUUAAAUAAUGUCUGUGUGAUCCCUGUCAGGCAGGGAAGUGCCUCAUAUUUCUAGUAAAGUUCAGCUUCACGACACAGAGAAGACACAGGCCUGGGGACCGAUUCCCUGUCCUUUAAAAAGUUGUACCAUAUUUCUGAUAAUCUUGUUCUUAUCUCCCAAGAAAAACUCACGUCCAUGAAGUUGAAAUGUGAGGACCACUCCCUUCCAUGUUUCUGUCUCUCUUCACUUCUGGACAUUACUGCUCAUGGGCACUUGCCCCUUCUUCUGACACACCAAACAUGAGCACAUGUGCACACACAAGCGCAUGUGCUCAGAUGCCUCAGUCAUUUGGACACAUGCCACUGUACACAAACACACCCACCCACCAGUUGUACACAGGCCACGUGCACGCCCCGCCUCUCACUCAGCUGCUUUGAGGAAAUAAGUAAGUGUGACUGCUCUUCUACCACUCUGCAUCCUGACUGCACUGAAGCAGCCCUGUGAGUCAGAGACCCAGACGGUGACCCAGAUACCGAGAACCAUGCACACUGCCCUUGAGAUGUGCAGCCUCUUGGGACAUGGGAUGAGACCAAAUUCAGGGCGGUGACAGAAUGGCUGGUUGAGUGGUUCGCCCCCCUCCCCCUUUCUGCAGUGUCUAAUUUGGAGCAAGGAGCUUCCAAAUUAGAAGUAGGGGAUCACAUGUGUGUUUGUGUACCCCCAGUGGCUGGCAGGUCCCUCUUUGUCUUCUGAGGGCUCUGUGUCCUCAGAAACCUCUGGCUCCUUUCCUUAGAAAUACACAUGCACACUUAAGAACGUACAACUUUUAGGAUAGAAUCGCAGGGAGUUUCGAGGUUAGCCUGUGGAGCCCUCGGGACAGAGGCUCUGGAGCACUCUAGGUUUUAUAAAGUACCUCCCAGAGGCCUUGAGGAGGGAAGAGGGUGUCUCCUCCUGUCUUUCUGGGGCUGGUGGGGCCAGUGGAAUGGGCAAGGAUUCAGGUUUCCCUUGCAGCCUCCUGGAGAGCUCUCCCUGCUCACGGCAAGCCUUGCUGAAUCCAGCAUGGUUGCCUCUUGGUUGCUGUGGUGGGGAACCUCGUAUGUACCCAGCAGGUUCUGGAGGCGUCCAGGAGAGUCUUAUAUGACAGCCCAACCUUGGUCCUACCAUUCUGUGCUUCCUUCCUGUGCUUGGCUGCUUUGAGGUGUGAAGCAGUCUUAGGACGCUGUCCCACACAUCACUAAGAUACCUGUCACCUCCAUGCGUACUCACUCCCAGUAGCAGAAUUGAGUUCGGUGGCUUCAGUCUUGUGAUACUUCUAGUUGGCUCCUGCCCCUCCCUUGCUCCCUCCCCGCCACCUCCUGUGUGUUUUUGCUGUUCUUAUAACACAAAACUUUCAUCUUUAAGAAGAAGCUGUUUUUUCUUCUGUCCCCGCUUCCCUCCUCCCUUCUUCUUAUGAUCCUACCUCAGGCUUGGAAUCCUGCACCCCACCAGGCUGCCUCUGUGGAGUUAGUGAUCAGCCCUUAACUGUCUUCUCCUUGUGUAGCCUACCCUUGCCUUGGUACCUCCCUCCUUGGCUUCUCUAGAUGUCCAAACUCUGAUAUCACAGCAUCCUGGGACCUCACCUGGCUCUCUCCUCUUCCCAUACACACUCCCACCUUGGUGAUCUCACCCUGUGUCCAUGGCCAGGGACCAUGCCUAUAAACAUGCCUCCAGCCUAGACCUAACUGCCAAACUCUGCAUCUACUUAUCCAGUUUGCUGUUCACGAAGGUGGCUGCACUAUCUCAGCCUAACGUGUCUAAGUUUUCACUAGUCCCUCGAGACAGUCUCCUCCCUAGACCUUCUCAGCUUUGUAGAGGGCGAUGUGAAGGCACGUGUGUCCAAAGCCAGGACUUUAUGGUACCCUUGGCUGCUUCACCCUCUCGGUCCUGCAAGCAAUCAAUGGAAUCAUCUGGUAGGCUGGGAUGUGCCAAUGACCUACAUGGAGUUCAGCACCCUGCUUUGCUGCCUCGAGGUGCCAGGCAGCAGCAUCUGAUCCUGAGCUGCCGUAAUGAUGGCCUCUGGACAGUGACUAUUGCCACCUCUUAAAACUUAGCAACUCUCCUCCAGGAGUGUGGCCUGCACUUCAUGCAUUAGUUUCUAAGCACGCCAUAUGGAAAGGGAGUUUGGCCAUGCACCUUGAUAGUACAGAAACCUAGCCAGUCUUAUCUCACCAGUGGUCAAGGUUAAUGUCAUCUGUGAUGCGUCACAUGGACUUUCUGUCAUACACAAAAGUACUACACACACACACACACACACACACACUCCGAAAAGUCCCCAAAGUAAGGUACAUGAUACAUUAUAGCUAACUUGUUACAACUCAAAAGGUGUAAGGUCAUCAAAGACUAGGCUUGCCAAAGGAGUAGCCACUGUGUGUGUGACGUGAGAAGAUAGGGUUCUGGGUGGCCUGUGGGAGACAGGAGGAGACACGGGAUGCUGGGGAUAUUGGAUGUACAUGAUGUGUAAUGAGUGGAUGGGAUGGGAUGGACCCAUGUUGGUUCCCUAGUUGUUACUUGUGUACAGCAGUAGGCAAGAAGCUAACAAAGGGGAGACUGGGUGAUGGGGACACAGGAAGCCCUCAUCCUAUUUCUGCUGUGGUGUGGUCUACAAUCGUCCUUGUUUGAGUGUUGGGUUAUUGGCUUGUGUUUUGUGUGUUAAGUCGGUGUCUCAUGUAGCUCCAACUGACCGCCAACUCAUCACCUAGUGGACAAUGACCCUGAACAUCUGACCUUCCUCCUCUACCUCUGAAGCACUGGGAUGAUAGGUGUGUACCGCCAUGCUGAUUUUUGGGCAGUUCUGUAGACCUCGUUUAGAGCUUCCUGUAUGCUGGACAAGCAACCCACCAACAGAGCUACACUAUUCUAAAAUCGCCAAAUCAAAACCGGAACACGGGUUCUCAAAGCCCACAGUGGGAGCCUCUGGAGCAGUGGUUCUCAACCUGUGGGUCACAGUGCCUUGGGGGGGGGGGUGUCAAGUGACUCCUUCACAGGGGACACCUAAGACCAUCAGAAAAUACUGCUAGUUACAUUACGAUUCAUAAACGUAUGCAAAAAAAUCACAGUUACAAAAGUAGCGAUGAAAUAAUCUUUUGGUGGAGGGGUCACCACAGCUUGGGAAAAUGUAUUAAAGGGUCACAGCAUCAGGAAGGCUGAGAGCCACUGGCCUAGAGUAAGAGCCAGGACUUUUGGGGCCCUAAGCUAUGAGCCACUGUUGCAUCUCUGAGCCUCUGCCUCACACCUUGCUCUCUAGCCACAUAACCUCUUCGAAGCUUCACACCGCUAUGUGGCCACAUUCCAGAACCUUCCGGUCAGUUCUCUGUACCACCCAGAAAGUUCUGCCCAGGGAACUGCUGGGCUCUGACCUGGAGCAUGUCCUCUAGGUAGGACCUGACUUCUUCCCCCUAUCAGAUACAGCAGCCUGUGCCCAGUGCCUCUGCCUGUGCCCUAGACCCUGAAGCUUUCAUUCUCUCCUCCAUCUUGGUGAUCCUUCUCAUACUCUACCAGACUGGCUGCCAGAUGGCCGCUAAACCCCCAAGGCCUUGGUCUCAGCAAGUGGUCCACUAGAGGAUCCUUAACGUACAGAUCAGUGCCUGGGAUAUGCAGGUUUGUUGAAUGAAUAAAUUGAUGACCAUGGCCUGACCCAUGUGGUGGGCCCAGUUAACUGUUAAAGUAGCAUUAAAGUAUGGAUGUAGAAUGUUCCCUCCAAGACCUAUGUGUUAAAGGCUUGGUCACUGAACAUGGAACCAAUGGAAGGUGGUAGGACCUUUAAGAAGCAGGGAUUGAUGGAAAGUGGUUAUAUCAUUAGAGGCAUAUCCUAGGGGACAUUAAAGGGGACACAAGGACCCUAGCGCCUUCCUCAUUUUUGCUUCCUGGAUAGCACUCCAUGCCACCAUUGUGAUCUGUGUAGCCACAGGCUCAAAGAAGGAGGGUCAAGUGACCGUCACUUGAAACUUCUAAAUAUAUGAGCCAUGAUAAACCUUUCUUCCUUACAAGUUUGCUGUCCUGGGCAUUUUGUUAUAGUGACUGAAAGGUAACCCUCCCACCAACCAUUGCACAGACUGAUAGCAGUAUAUGUGUCAGCUGUGGUCCCUCAGCCCCACUUUCCCCUGGGGCCAUUCCCACCAAGGCCAUCCUGUUGCAGACAUCUCUUCUCUUUUGAAGCUCUAGAUGGUUCUGUGGAGCCCUCUUGGCUACUUACCAUUCCCUCCCCUUCAAUGGCACUUGAAUGAGCCAUUGCCUCUUCUUGGGGACACAUCUCAUCUCUUAGAGGAUGCAAGGUAGAGAUGGAUGAGAUGGCUCAGAGGUUAAGAGCACUGGCUGCUCUUUCAGAGAACCCAGCCUCCAUUCGUAGCACCCUCAGGGCUGCUCACCACCAUCCAUAACUCCAGUUCCCAUAACCUCCUAGCCUCCAAGGGCACUGCACACACAUAUACAGACAUACAUGCAGACAAAACUCACAUACACAUAAAAAUAUUUGUUUUUAAAAAUCAAAAUGUUAGGAAAAGAGGUCACUCCCAGAAAGAGUGUUAAAUGAAUAUGACAUGAAGAAGCCAUCCCCCCUCAGCUGCCCAGCUAGCUACGACAUCUGGCUCGAGCCUCAAAUAUUAGAGAGCUUCUGCAGACGUGAACCAAUCCCAUGCCCCUCCACCUGACACCUAGAAAAUGGACUUGAGCCCACAGUAGGACCCUUGGACUUGAGCCCACAGUAGGACCCUUCCACCAGCUCCUUCCCAGAGCCUGAGUCUAGGUGCCUCUCGUGGCAUCUACUCCUAACUGGCUGGCCUUUCCCUGUCCCCUCCCCAUACAGGAUCAUGUGGAUGAUCCAAGAAGGUACCUAGCAUGCUUCUAAGGGGAGAUCUGGAGUGAUCCAAGGUGGCUAGAAACCAGUGUCACCAUUUAGCAGUCAGGCCACUUGGGUCAGCUAACACCACCUCUCCAAGCAUGCAUGUCUGUCAUAAGACCCUGCCAUCUGACCGUGCAUUGUUUGGGAGAGUGAGAGUGCCUCACACAACCCAGUACAGAAUGAGCACCAGCAUGGGCUAGCUAUUGCUAUCUUCUUACCCAUGGGACCCACCCACUCCCAACCUUUUCUCUCAGUCUGCCCAGUCUCCACCUGUCCAGGUCUCCUGGGGAGUGGGGGCUGCGAGUCCAGCUCCCUGAACCCCUGUUACAGCCUCUAAGAGCCACACACAGGCUUUCCCCGGAAAGUCCAUCCGUGUUAGUUGAGGCAUGAAGCAAAGUAAUAACGAGAAACACGCUUGGUGUGCCACCCCCCGACGAGCACCCCACAAAUAAAUAAGAUGUUUGUGCUAGGGAAGCAACACAGCCCCAUCUCCGCUAAUUGGAUCUCAUCAGCCCUCCGACAAGGCCACCUCAUUUGCUUUGUUUGGUCUGAGUAGAUUGUUUUCCUUAUUUUUCUUAAACCCCAGGAAGGAAAAAGGCAAGUCCACAGUUGUCUGUGGUCUCGCUGGGCCGGCAGGAAGUAGGGUUUUAGCUCUGUCAGGCUUGGGGAGUCUGAAAGGGGAGCAUAGAAGUUGAGGGAAGAGAUGGCCAAGCAGUUCAUCCAUGAUGUCACUUCGAGCAUGCGUGGAAGGGCAGGUGGUGUAAGGAUGAACGUGACCUGUUAGCUCAUGUGUGAAGUUACUGAGGGACACAGUUAGUGCAUAUAAGUGUAUAAGGCAUUGUGUAACAGGGAAGACCUCCAUAGGGUGAUGUCAAGCCAACACAUAGGAAAAUCCAAAAUGAGAACUACAAACUAUUAGUGAUGGUCCUUCCCAAAAGGUGAAAGAUACCUUCUGUGGGGUCUCAUCUCCUCCAGCCUCCAGACAGCCUCUCCUCCAUGUCUGCUCCCCUCUUCCAUGGUCAAAGGCAGCUCUCCAGAGAGCCUUCACCCAGCCAGCCAGCCAGCCCUUACACCUGCUCAUGUGCCCUGUCACCUGGGCCUUUGCCUUACUUCCCAGGGUCUCUGCUGUCAGCAUACAAUCUCUCAUCUGUCAUCUGUCACCUCUUUCCUGUGCUGGUGCCUUCCCUGCACACCUCCUGGAAGUGACAUCGCCACUUACCCAUAGCCUUCCUUUGAGGCUUGGUCAAAGUGAUCUGUGAACCCCACAUACAGAAUUCUACCAAAUACUUCCCUACCCUGCCCUCAGGUGCUUCCUCUCCUUGGCCCCCAGAACUCCUGUCUUCCAGUGUCCUUUUGCCAGCUAACUCUCCUCUGUCUAUUAAGAAUCUCCUCUUCUUGCAGUGGUCCAAUGACUAUGGGUGUCACCAGUAUACUUCCCCCAAGGCUUAACUCAACUUCCUGCUGAGAUAACUGUUAUGAGCCCAGACCUACUGAGCAUCUCCAAAAUCUUCAGCACCCCAAAGUGAUCCCUUCAAUUUCUACCCUCAUGUGCUUGUUAUCUUAUUGAGAACCCUGCCUGUUAGAGCUGGAACUGAAUCCCUAAUGGCACCCCCAUUUCUCCUACACCCUCAUGCUGAAUGACCUGCUCGGGUCUCCUGGAUUUAGAGAUGAGCUGCUAGCUGUGGCUGGUUCCAAGAAACUGUUGGGGAGGAAAGGGGAGCCACAAUGAGGUCCCUGAAUCAUUUCUUGUCCCUUGAAACUCACAGCCUGUGGGUCCUUUGAGGUGUUGUAUAUAGCGGCAAUGCUGUGUGUUACAGGCUGGGAUUCCUUCAGGGCAAACUGAGGUAUCUGGACGCCUUAGCUCACUUCCUGCAGCCAUGUGUGCCACUCCUGGGUAGGGUUCUAAGGAUGCCAGUGGUAGCCUUGGCUGCUUACCCUCCGGAGAUGAGUUCUCCAUCUUUCCUGGAAGGGAUAUGACUAUUGGCUACGCAGGUCUGCUCUUCAGCCGGUCUGAAUGGGGCUCUGUUCUGAGGACUGGCUGGGGGCGCAGCUCAAGAGAGUAUGUGUGUGAGCAUGGGUUUCCAUGACCCCCACCUGGAAACCACUCCUGGCCUCACCCUAGAAACAAACACUCUGUGGCCAGGCAGGCUGACGUGUUGGCGCCUGUGUCCAGGAGCUGCCCGGCGGGCGUUCCCUACAUGUGGCAGACUCCAGGGGGUGUGCUGCCCAUUUGGCCCUGGGUUCUAAGACAUCCGUUGUCCUCCUGCCAGAUGGGCCUCCCUCCUCCCUCCACAUUCUCUGAGUCCUCUCCCAGAGGCUCCUAUGGAGAGAACCCUUGUGACCGUUGGCUUCUGGCCCUUUAAGAAACGGCCCAGAUUCAGAGUGGAGGGACCACAAUCCUUCACCUGGGAAGACAGCUGCCUCCUGUGGCAUCGGUCACCUUCACUGCAGUCUUUAGGCUCGAGAGUGGCUAUGAUUUGGAGAGGCAGAUAUCUUGCCUACCAUCAUCAAUGUAGCUGAUGCAAGAGCAUUCUAGAUUCUUCCAGACAGAACAUAGGUACUUGGUAUGAAUCUUCCAUCUAAAGCUAGAAGUCCCUGUCUACUUCAUUCAUAGUGGUCUAACCUGUGCCUGGAACCCUCACACAGGAAGUGCUGUUGACAGGGCAGCCCACUGACGGUGGGAAACAAUGGCCCCCUGACCCUGAGUACACCCUGCUCCUCCAAGUCUGUGUUCAGAUAACUCAGGAGUUCUGGGAGACAGCCUGGAACCUAUGUCGUUCUGCACCCCCAGAAGAUAUGUUACCGUGUCUGCAGACACUCUGGGUUGUCACCUCUUGGAGAGGAGUAUUGACUUCCCCCUCCAUCAAGUGGAUAAAGACCACAGGCUAUGCUAAGAUCCUGUAGGACACAGGGCGGCCCUGCAGCCAACUGUGGUCUAAAGUCCAGGCCAUGUUGCCAGCAGUACUGGGGUGGAGAAAACUUGCUUUAGACUAACAUCCUCCCUAAGGGUGUGCCAGCCCCAACAGAGGGCUCCUUGUGUGGGUUUCUUACAGUUUUUGAGACUAAGAAGAAGCCGUCCAAUUCCAUGUCCACGUCGUGACAUCUGAAACAUGAAGCUUUGCAUAGGAACCGAUAAAAACUUGGAAAUGUUUCUUCCAUCCACAAACUCAUUAAUUAACACCUACCAGGCGACUGCCGUCCUGCUAACUACUCGAGAUUCCUAGAUACUGUGAGAUGAGUGUGCUCUUGGGGGCCUUGUGAUGGGUGGUGUGUGGAUCCCAGGAGACUGGGGAGGGGGAUGGGCCCCACUCCUCUAGGCCCAGCCUCCUUCCAGGCUGAGAGCAGCCUGCUGUUCAGGGUUGCUAUGCUUUGUGGUCUCUGGGCCUCUCGGGAAAUUCUUGGAAGGCGGAGGCUCAAAGUCCAGCCUCGAAGGCAUUAGUGGCCUGUGUUUGUGAUGUGAUACGAAAUACUGCUAAUUCCCAGCCUCAGUUUCUCAAACUUGCCCAAUCUGCACCCCAUCCAAGUGGUGUGAACCAGGUAGCUUGAGGCAGUGCUGAAGGCCAGAAAUCCAACAUAGAUACGGAAAAUGUGGGCUCCCUUGGGAGGCCAGCAGGUACCAUUUUGUUGGCAUUGUGCCGCCACUGUCAUGGCUUCUCUGUCUCUGUCUCACCCCUUCUUUUUGUCUCUAUGACACCAUCCUUUCAUGAAAGUCCAUCCAAUCCCCUAGUAGAGCCCACCCAUCCCCCUAGGAAAACCCACCCAUCCCCCUAGGAGAGCUCACCUCGUUUUAACAGCUUCUCUGUAAUGAGGAGGGGCAUUGGUUUCCAUAUGGGAUAACAAAGUUGACAGGCUGGCUACACAGUUUGUGAAUGGCUCCUUCUUCCACAUGGCCUCCCUGGGGCUACCUCUGUUCUCUAAGGAUGCCCGCCUACCUGGGCUCCUUAUCAAGUUCAAGCAAUGACCACAAGCCCAAAUAAAGUCACAUCCUGAUCUACGCUGACAUAAAGUUGGGGCAAAUUUUAUCCAGACCAGCACACUUACCCAGCAGUCCACUCAGUUAAACUCCCUUCACUAAGAAAGACAGACCCCUGGCAUCCUGCUUCCUGUCCUACAGUGGACCCAAGUCUGGCUUGGGCAGAGACCAGAAUGCAAAGGGAGAGCUGGCUGGAUUAGCCAGUCUGAGCCGCUCCAAGGACAGAAGAAGGGUACCCAAGUGGGAGUGGAGAUGGGACUGGCUGGCCUGGGGGAGGGGACUGUUUGUUUUCAGGACAAUAAAUGCCUCUUGAUGGGUUGUGGUUUACACAGGGCCUUGAUGCCAGAUCGAGUUGUCUGCAUUGAUUGCAUGGCCACAAAGCCUGUCACAGAAAGGAGAGGAACUGGCAGGGGAACCUGAUGGCCUGUCCCCAGACCAUCGCCCAGGCGUCCUCAGAGGUGUCGGGAAAGGUGCUGAGUGAAGAUCAGAACCUGCAGGGUAGCUGCCCUAGAGAGAUCCUGGGUACUCCGAGCUAUGACAGCUCCGAGCUUGGGCCCUGAGGCUCCCCGCCCCCAACCCCCGUCCAGGGUGGGCAGAGGCUAGGAGGCCUAUUGGGAAGGAAUGUAACGAACAAAUUAAAACCCUUGUUAGCAGCAAGGAUAGGGCUUUGGAAGAUCAAGGGAGCAGGGCUUUGGGAGACAGCCACUAAUUUAAUGAAGAGGAUGAAUUCCAGAUGUGGUCUCUGGCCAGCACACAGCUGCUGUCCUUGGACACUUGGGGAGAACCCUGGACAGAGAGAGAAGGAAGCAGAAGAAUCAGGCAGCCCAAGGCUAGGGUUAGCAUCGUCUCUGCUUCCAGCACAAGGAACCAGUGUCAGAGAAACACAGAUAUCACCAUAUACUUGGGGCUGUCGAUGCAACAACCACAGUUUGAGGAAAUGCGUGGUGACGGAGCGGGGCUCCAAAUGCAGCCUUGCUUCUAAGUGGAUCCGUAUCCUGGAAACUUCACCAUCGACCGCUGAUGACCCAUGGGCAUGGGGGUAGUCGCUCUAUGUACAGAUGGGGUUGCCCACUUCCUGCACUGGAAGAACUCCCAGGAACAGCUUAGAAGCCUUCAACCCCCACGCUGGAGACCACAGGCUCAGCUUCCUGGAGGAUGAGAGCAAACUAGCUGCUGGGAGGGUCUGGGGAGGAGCCAGUCUGGCUCCAUCCUAGGUCUAAAGGAAGGGGGUAGCUGGGGGGAGGGGAGGACACAGAGUUGAGCAGUACUUGAAGAGAGAGAGAAGACAGAUGUGGGUUCAUGCGCAUUGCCCUCCCUUCAUCCCUCUUCCUCCUCCCUCCCCUCCUUUCUCCUCCUCUUUAAGCCUUACAACAUGCAAAUCACAGGCCAGGCCCAUGGUGUGGGAGGCAAUAGUACAACAUCUCCAGUCUUUGCCUUCUAGAAGCUUCUAAGCCUGCUAUAUGAUACUGAUACCAGUUAGGGAGAAAACAACAACAAAAAAAAAAAAAAAAAAAAAAAAAACAAGAGAGGUGGGCCCAUCUAACAGAAUGCUACACUUGCAGCUUGCUUCCUAAUCAGGAAGAUCUGUUCGAAUUUUCACAGACUAGGUGGUAGCACACAGGCCAUUUCGCUGGUCUGCCCUCAGGGACCUAGCAGCUGCGUGUGCUAUCACCACUGCCACCACCAGGUGUGCCAGGUGUGUACUGUGACAAAAGGGCCCCCAGCCAUUCCCCAGAUCUCCUCCCAGAUCUUCUCUCUGACCUCCAUACACACCCUCUCCCUCCUGCCCCACCCCCCCCACCCCCACCCCCCUUUUCCUUGCCUUCAUGGCUCUGCUCCUCUCUGUCUUCCGGUCUCCAUGCCUCUAUCCCUUCCCCAGGUCCUCACUCAUCCCCCGCCAUCCCCAGAUACACAUCUUUUGCACCAGGCCUGUUGCACAGCACACACGACAUUGUAUUUCAUAACACACUAGGGACCUGUUUACAUUUUUUACUUAUGCAUUUCUGGGGCUUGGGGAUAGCUCAGCUGGUAGAAUUCUUGCCUAGCGGGCACAAAGCCCUAAGUUGGAUUCCCCAGCACCACAUAAAGCAAUAUGCUGGCACCUAGGCCUUAUCCCCAGCACUCACGAGGCAGAUGCAGAAGGACCAGAAACUCAGUCAUCCUGGGCUACUUACAGAAUUCAAGGCUAGCCCAGGCCACAUGAGACCAGUCUCAAAUAAAAAAAAAUUAUGUUUCCUUUAAUAUUCAUACCCAAGAGUCAGAGGCAGGCAGAUCUCUAUGAGUUCAAGAGGGGUAGCUGGGGGGAGGGGAGGACACAGAGUUGAGUUGCACUUGAAGAGAGAGAAGACAGAUGUGGGUUCAUCUCUAUGGCCUGGUCUACAUACCAGUUUCAAGCUAGACAAGGUUACAUAGGGAGACCCUGUCUCCAAUUUUGUUUUUCUUUAUAAAACAAGGAAGGAAAGGGAAAGGGAGGGGGGAGAGAAAGGAGACACUUUGAUGAAGAAGAAGAAAAAAAAAACAGCUGGAGCCAUUGAUACCCCAUCUACUUUCUGUGCCCUAGAAAUAAAGGUGAUAGCCAGAGAGGUUCAAAACUCACACCUCCAGGCUCAGCACCCUGCCUGUGUUGUGGUGACACUGGGGUAGACGUGCCACCCCAGUGAGGCUGUUUGGAGCCUCUGCUAAGAGAACAGACCAGCUGUCCAGGCUAUACCCAAGCCUCACACUUAACUGGAAGCUUCCUGUCCUGGAGGCUCAUUUACUGACAGUGACGGGUAUGGUGAUGCAGCUUAGCAAGUGGCUUCUAUAAAGAGCGGAGCCUUGUCCUCCAGGAGGGAGGAGAGAUGGGCACUAUCAGAGUUAUGGAUUUUAUUGAGUCAUAAGCAAAGCUGGAAAAAUAAACAAUUAAAGUCGGCUAAAGCACGGGGCUGCUGAGCCAGCUAGCUGACCAGCCUGUGGAAGCAGAAAAGGCCCUGACAGAGCUACCGUGGAGUAUCUUUGUGACCUGACUUGGAGGAAGGCAUGGGGUUAGGGAGGCUCCCAUCCUCCAUCUCUCUAGUCGCAGGAUUAAUCUCUGAAUGCUGUUGGAUGGCCUCAAUAUUGACAGUCAUCAAACAGCAGGGGGUGGGGGGAGAACUCACCCACGAUAUGGGAGGGUAUCCUCACAUCCCCACCCAGGGGAGAUGGGAUGGACAGAAGUUCUUCCUUUGGGACAUCUGUGUGUAACUCUUCACUGGGUCACCGGUUGACUAGGUAAUGUCUGAGUAGCAAUUAGAACCCUGUUGAACCUCUGCCCCAGGAUCUGUAGCUUUAGUGAGAAUAUUUGGCUGUGUAUGGAUGCUGUAAAAGAACAAGAAACAAAACAAACAGAAACCAGACUGGAAGUGCUAGUUCACAGAGCUGUAGAGACAGGCAGGCGGAGGGAGUCUGGGAGAGGCUGCACUGGAGUUCUCAGAGCUGGGACCAGAACUGGGGACAUCAUGGGCCCAUUUAACUCUGUGGUUCCAUGCCCAGGGCCUGGUCAAAGGUCAUCUAUAUCAGGGGGCUGGUUACUCUACUGCUUAAUAACACCGAGGCCACAGAAGUUAAAUCUCCGUCAGUCAGAGGGCCCUGACUGUCUGCUGACAGUCUGCUGCAAAUGUGUCUCCUGCGUCCAGAAUCCAGACAAUGAGAUAUACCUGAGAUGGCUUCUCCAGACCUUGCUUUCUGUCCAGUCAGACAGAGAGGAUGAAGGCCUGCCUAGGCAUAGCCUGAAUCUCAUGGGCCCUGUGACAUGCAAGAGUUAAAAGUACUGAAAAAAAAAUAGUCAGCAAGGAGGAAUACAGAGAAGCCAAACAAACAAACCAACCAAACAAAACAAAACACAUACAUACACAUACAGGAGAACCUGGGAAUGAGUCAGCUAAGGACAAAAAUGGACCCAGGUAUAGUGCAGAGAAGAUAAGUCAAGAGCCAUUGAGCCUGGCUACCAUGCUUGAUACAGGGGGGGCCUAGUGAAAAGAGGAGGUAGCCCCUGGGCCCCAGGAUGUACAACCAGGGUUCCCAGAAGGAAAGGCCAAGCAGGGCAUAGAUGGAAGCAAAGCCACCCCCCCCAAGGUCAAGGUCAGCUCCUUAGUCACAGCCAGCCUCAUCUCCCUCCUCCAUUCCAAUGCUGCAAUCUGUGCCAAGAAACUGUUGCCAGAGACCUACCAUGGGGCAAGCCACUCAUAAGAGUGAUGAGCGGGGUGUUGGGGAGGCUGGGACCAGCCACUCUAUGCUUUAUCUCCAUCUCCGCCUUCUGGUACUUAAGGAGCAUUAGAGACAGCUGGAAUCUCUGUGAGAAAGAGAGAGAGAGAGAGAGAGAGAGAGAGAGAGAGAGAGAGAGAGAGAGAGAGAGAGAGAGAGAGAAUGAGAAUAUGAACCUGGCCACAGGCUGCCAGAACAUGGCACGGGUCAGGGUAAGAAUAUGCCACCAGCCAUCGCUUCCUAUCAAAGACCAGAAGAGGAGCAGAGAAGCUAGCGUCUGCGCAUAAAUGGUCACACAAGCAUGAGCAUGUGGGUGGGUAAGAUGUGCCGUGGCAGAAAAUGUGUCUGCACCUCAGCCAUCCUUUAUGGAUAAGGAAAGUAAGCCUGGCAGAGGUUAAGUGUUGUGACCUCUGUCCAAGCCAGGUGCACCAGCUCAGCCGUGUUCCCUGGGGCCAGGGGGCGGGAAGAAGGCAGCCUCCGAGUCAUCCCACCCUCUCACCUAAAUGUUGCUCACUGCACCAGGUGCUGUCUCUCAUGUUGUCUGCCUGGACUUCCUGGUGGGCAAGUUCCAAAGCCACCAGAGUCUGUGUGGCUUCCUAUCAGGCUUCUCUCUGUCAAUGGGAGGCCAGCAUGUCAGCACAGGCAAGAUCAGAGGGGCUGCUUGGGGUAUCGAGACCGGGAAACCUCUGGGCUGAUAACCUCUGAUCUCUGCCAUAUCACAGGGCUUCCCCAUCAGCCCACCUGAGCCGGGUGCAUAACACCUCCAGCUGCUCGGUGACUGUUCCAAAUGGCAGGGAACCCAGAAGCACCUCAGCCCUUCCUUUCCUUUCCCUUCCCUUCCCUCCUAUGCAUUCCAAAAGGGACAAGCUCUUGCCAGGACUUCGGGGAUAGAGGCCAGGCCUCCUCAGACAGCAUUCUGACCCCUAUCAUCUAGAGCUGCCUGCAUUUAACUUCCUGCCUAUUCCUGAGGCUGUUGGAAGCAACUGGAACCAGCUAAUGCUGGCCAAGGGCCCCAGGCCAAUGUCACUGACUCCACCCCACAUCAGGAGGUGGCUAGGGUCCAGACAAAGAGUUGGCUUUCCUAUGUUGGCCCUCUAAACUUUUCAGGGUAUGUCCUUCCCAUGCAGAACUGAGGGACAAAGAGACAAGGGGUGAGAGCCAUGACACUGCCUCUGCCAGAACUAAUGCCCAACUCUCUGCUCCUUCUUCCCACCCGACCACAGACAUAGGUCACACCUGUGGCCUUUUCUGCUCACAAGCACAGCCACACAGGUCUCAGGAACACUCCAGGACCCUUGGCACAACCUGCCUUUACCCUGGCCUACACCUCCCCAACACUUGUCUCCACCCCUUUCCUCCCUGGGUGGCUCACAGCACCCCUGUUUCUUGAUCACCCACUCACUCAGCAAAUGCAAAGAAAAGUCUCAGGCACCAAGCAUGGGCCAGGAGCUGAGGGGUAACUAGGGACAAGACCAUGCACUGAUGCUAUGCUCGGCACGUGACCAUCUUCUGGUCAGGAGAGCCAAGAGAAGAGAAAGGUGAAAUUUAUAUAAGCUGUAUGCUGAUAAGACUCAGGGAAGAUGAGGGUGUGUGUGUGUGUGUGUGUGUGUGUGUGUGUGAUGCACUUGUAUGCUUGUUUACAUAGUUGUAAUGCUAGAUGCAAGGUUUGAAUUGUGUAUUUGCAUGUGUGUGCUUCUUGUCUGUUUGCAUGUGUAGAGUGCAUGUAUUCAUUUAAAUGUAUGUUUGUGUGUGUGUGUGUGUGUGUGUUUGUGUGUAGUCCGUGUGCAUGGAUUUGAGUGUGUGCGCUUUUAUGCAAGUUUGCAUGUGUGUAGUGCUGUGUAUGGGUGUUUUUGGACAUGUGUGGUUAUACGUGUGUUUGUAAGUGUGCAUGUGUAUGGUACUGGUGUGUGCUCUUUCACUCACCCAGCUUCUAGAACACAUAAUGUUCUCUUCCUUCCUGCCCUGUAUGGAAGCAUGGUAGUGUUGCCUCUAGAGCAGUGGCUUUCAACCUUCCUAAGGUUGCGACCCUUUGAUACAAUUCCUCAUAGUGUGGUGACCCCUGACCAUAAAAGUAUUUUCAUUGCUACUUCACAACUGUAAUUUUGAUACUGUUAGUUUUGGAAACAGAGGUUUGCCAAAGCGGUGGUGACCCACAGAUUGAGAACUGCUGGUCUAGCAUCCCAUGAAGAGGCGUUAGAGACAUAGAAGGGGAGAGGGGGUGUUCUUGCCCAUAAGAGAUGCUGUGAAUACCAGAUGUGGGCCCCGUGCCGAAGGCCAGUAUUCCAGCCUAAUGUGACUGCCACUAUGGUAUAAGAGGAGUCCAGUAGCGGACCUACCAUAGUGUAAGCAAAUCCUCAGCGCCAGAGGCAGCAACAGAGGACAGUUCACAGAUGUCCAGGAGACAGUGGAGAUGGACCACAGUAAGUAGAUCUGAUCUGGAUUAGCAUCCCAGGCUUGCUUCAUUACCAUGAGCUGUGUGGCAUCUUCUUGCCCUUGCGUUUUCCCUUCUAUUAAAUGGGUCACCAAAACUUCCCUUGUAAGUCCUCUAUGAGAAGCCAAGAAGCCAGUGCCUUGUAAGUGACACACACCUGGACGGGCACUCGGAAAAGGAAAGGCACUGAGUAUGAACUGGGAGGUUGAGGGAGGGUCUUUCCAAGGCCCUGCUGUAUACCCCUCACCUCUAGGGGAAAGGAGAACAGAAGCAGACACCAGCCCACAUCACAGGCCCAGGCCACUGUGCCAUUUAAUAACCUCUCAUGCCUCGCCUCCUGGAUGCCUUUCUGCUAAUCCAGUUAGCACCCGCAGUGAUCCGAUUACUCUACUCAGUGUAAGAAACCCCAAAUCUCAUCAUCAGGCAAAUGCUCACGUGGCAUGGAUUGGGGGUGUUCCAGAGCAGGGGUUCAACACUGAUUUGCUUCAGGGGCCAAAGUCCUCAGACACCAUUCAUCCUUUCCAGCCCCCUGGACACAGAGAGAGUGCUGUCUCUGUUACCCAGAAUCCCAAGUGCUUACUUCACAGCAUCUGGGGGACCCUCUCUGAUCUAUCAUAAUUGUCCUGGGUAGAGCCCCAUAAUUAGUGAAGGGGUUCAGGCUGUGGGGUGCUCCUGCAGGUACCUGACUUGCUUGGACUUUCAGGAACACCUCUAAAUCCAUUACUCCCUGCUGUCACUAGACAUCAGUCACUUGGGAGGUCUAAGGAGCCAAGGACAGAGCCCACCCAGCCUCCUGGGAAGAAAUAUAGCCAGAUCCAGGGCAGAAAAGGUAGACAAGACCCUGGUGCACAUUUAGGGAAGUCCUCCCAACCUCUAAGUCUUCCUGAUGAUGCAGCAGACUCCCCUUGUCCAAGGUUUUACUUUCCAUCAGCUGAGGUCAACCACAAUCCAAAAACAUGAAAUGGAAAAUUCUAGAAAUAAACAGCUUACAUUGUAAAUAACCUUCCAGCGCAGUAUAUUGUUACAGUUGGCUCUUCUCUGUCAUUUGGUAUUAUGGAUAAGGGGAGACAACUGUAGGUUGAAUGUGUAGGUGGGGCUGACUGAACUCAGUCCUCAUGCCUGAGCAGGGGGCACAGCAGGCCGUCCCUGGAUCCCCAUCCCUGCUCCCAUUCCACUGAGCAGGAUGGUUUGGACACUUGGGUCCCAAUCUUGCUGCCUCCUCUCCCCUGUCCUCCCUCCUUCCUGGCUUGGCUUAGGGUGAUAGCUCCUAGAGUCCCCAGUUAGACUCCAGACAGCUAUAUUUCUGCUAGGCAGCUCACCAGGCAGGAAGCUGAUGAGGACAGAAGGCUGGAGGGUGUCAGGGGCAUAGCGAAAGGACUACCAUCAGCCCUGCUUCAAAAAGAAAAAGGACCCAGAUUCCACCACUCCCUCUAGGCCGGGUUCCCAACCCAUUGUGACCAUUCUUAUCCUGUGAAUUCGGCUCUUACACGUUCUAAUUGCACAGGUAGAACCCUGCUGGCAGGUUCAGGACAAGCUCAUGGAACCAGUCUCCCAUUGUGCCCUGAUAGAGACCCAAGGCCUCAGUCAUUCUUAGUGGCACAGGUGACAGACAGCUACUUGCUCAGGCUUGGCUCAGGACAGCCAUAUGCGAUUUCUUCAGGCUAGGGAGCAUGGCCUUCCUCUGUGUUAUGUGAGCUGGGUGGGGAUGGGGGUCGGGGGAGAUGAGCUGGAAUCCAGGUUUCAAGCUGAGGAGACUGAAGACAUCAUCCUCUCCUCUUACACAGGACAGACUGGGCUGGGCUCGCUGGUGGGGCAUCCUCUGCGGUCCUGGAGAGACCAAGCCUGCUCUUGGUAGCUUGCGGUCUCUAACUAAGCCUGUAGUGCAUUUCCCAGGCCAUGGCCACCUUCUUGCUGCCUGCUUCUCACCUGUAGGGCUCCCUGACUGUCCGAGUGGUAGCUGUCCUCAGAGACUGCUCUUUUCUCCUUAAUGGUGAGAAAUGAAGCAGGCCGGGGCAUCAUGGUGCCCUCUGCACUUGUGCCAUGUCCUAGUGUAGUAAUUCUCACUUCCCAAUGCUAGGACCUUUUGACACAAUUCCCCAUGUUGUAGUGACCCAAACCAUACGAUCAGCUUUGUUGCUACUUAGUAACUGUAAUUUUGCUAUGGUUAUGAAUCGUAAUGUAAAUAUUUGUGUUUCCCCACUGGUCAUGGGUGACACCUUGUGAAAGGGUCUUUGGACCCGCAAAAGGCCACAGGUGAAGAGCCAUUUCUCUAGUGCACUCUGAUCUCCAACAUCGUGGGAUCCCAGCUCAGUCAGGUUCCAGGCACAUUUGCACGGCCAGUAAACAAAGACUCCUCUUUUCUCUCAAUGUUUUCUGUUUAAGGUGUGGGUGAAUCUGGGCUCCUGGGUGCCUGAGGGCAAACUCUGGUGUCAGUCUUUAUUUUUCACUUUGUUUGACACAGGGUUUCUCGUUCUGGGAUGAGUGCACCAAGCUAGCCGGCCUGGAGGCUGAGGUCUCCCAUCUCUGCCCUGCAACUUGCAGUAUGAGAAUGGGGUUGCUGAUACAUGCUGCGUGCCUGGUUUUAUGCGAGAUCUAUAGAUUUGAGCUCUGGUUCUUGGGCAGUAAGUGCUGUGCCUACUGAGCCAUCUCCUCAGCGGAGACUAAGCUGUUAGCAUACAUAUGCCCCCAAUAUUUCAGAUAUAUUCUACAUUCCACGCAUACACCCCAAAUCUAGUCUGUGCAGCCCCAAACCUCACAAUCCAGAGGCUGGAAGAAUGUAUCCCUGUAUCUCAUAUGGCUAAUCUGCCAAGUCCUUUAUGAAGUCUGGGACUAAAGAAGCUGGGACCUUCCUGGGAGAGGGAGAUAAACAAGAAAGCAGGCAUGACACCCCAAGCCAUCUCCUGUUACUUGCAGAUGCCUGUGACCUCAGUGGGGACUGACCUCAUUCUCUGCAGCAUGAGCAAAAUGUGAACAAGCCCAGGGAGGAUGGUCCCAGUGAGGGACACCAUGCUGGGUGGAGCCCUGGGAUUUAGAGUCUCUGAUCACCACUGCACUAUCAGAAUGUCCCAGCAUAAUGGGGCAGGGUUUGAAGAAGCGGUCAAGAAUCCUCUAGGACGGAGACAGCCACUCCACAUAGUAAACGGUGCUGGGUCUCUGCCCUUGUUCUGCAUGAUGGGCAGAGCCAGCUCUGCCUUGCCGAUAUGUACCCUGCAGGACCCUUGGGCUUUCUGGCAUUGUUCAUUCACAGGGGCAUCAAGUGCCUGGGAAGGAGGGGUUGGUUGCCAGGUUGUCAAUUCUCACAUAUUCCUGGUACUCAGUCGCAUUCACACACAUGCCCAGAUUCCGGGAACAGCCUCCCACCCGACCCUCCGAUCCAGGCUCUCCCCUUCCAUCCUUCGUGCAGACAGCUGUCCAAUUCAUCUCGCUAAAUGUCCUCUUUCAUCAAAUGCCUGCCCCUUCUCAAAGGCCCCCACCGCUCCCUGGUUCCUACAGAGCCAAGGCUCUGAUUGUCAUCACCUUUCAGACGUCUGCAUCCUCUGUUUCUGCGUUCUUGCCAGAGGCCUGGUUCCCCGCACUCCCCCCACCUCCACCCCAGGCCCUCUGGCCAUUGGAAAGAGGCCACUUUCAGAGUAGAACGCACACAUUUGCAGGUGCUGCUGAUGACAGCUGCCUGCCUUCUCUUUAAGGCUCUCCCUCCUCCAGUCCUUUGCCGUUCACCUGAUUACAGCAAGGACAAAGACAUCAUUAGGUGCUAAUGGCACAGCACUUAGUACCUCCGAAGCACCUGUUAAUCCUCAGCCCGCUGCAGGCUGACUGUUCUAACCCAGCACACAGCCAGGAGUGAGAAUCCAUCACGGCUCUGCCCAUUUGCCACUCUGACCAUUUGCCAGCUUGCCCACCCGCCUGCUCUUGGGUCCCAGUCUCCAAGGGCCAGACCAGAACUGCCAGCACCAGCCAGCACCACCUUAGAGCACUGCGAGCAUAGGGAAUGCAGGGGAUUUUCCAUAUUUCUGUCAGUCUUUACCACUGCUGGAUGGCAGACAGCAGUGCCCCUAUUUCACCAACUGGGAAACUGAGGCUUGGGGAAUAAAGGCCUUGGCUAAGACUCACAAUCCUCUCGUCAAUAGAAUGGAAUGCAGAGCCACAUCUGUCCAUCUGUCUGGCUUCAAGGUCAUCUUCCUGGCUGCCAGCUCUUGUCUGUGUUGAACUGGCUUUCUUUCUUCAAAUUUGUGAUUCUGACCUAUACCUCAAAGCCCAGAUAGAUCCCCCAAGACUCACUCUCUCACCCCCCCCCAGUGGCCUCAAGCACCUGAAACUACAUUGGGAGAGACCAAAAAAAAAGACAUUAAGACACUAACACAUAUACUGGUGUGUGUGUGUGUGUGUGUGUGUGUGUGUGUGUGUGUGUGUGUCUGGACAGUAAUCUUUCCAGCGCUGAAGGAUCCAGUUCUUAAACAUCCUACAAUCUUCCUAUCGUUCAGUGGUAAGGCUGGAUUAAAGAGGAGUAUACAGUAGUCACUGACUAGAAAGACUAGGGAGUCAAAUCGUUGCAGCAUCUUGCUUUAAUGAAUCACUGCAUACAACCAAGCCUCUCUCUGCUGUCAUACUGUGUGCAGCAUGAAGGGGUUAAUCAGCCACCCUAGUUUCUUUAGCUCCAGUUCUAAUCCUGUCCUUCCACUCCACUGGGGUCCUUCGACAAGGUCUCUGUCCUCCUCCUCUGACAAAGAGAUCACUGAGAGAGCUCACUUGAAGAAGUCUGUACUAGAGCAGGAUGUGGGCUGACCUGUGUGCAGCAUCUGUCACUCAGAGAGCUCCCUUGGGGCUCCCUGUGCCGAGGCUCCCCCAUGGAACCACACUGUCCUGGCCUAUAAGGGCUCUACAGGGUCUAUAAGGGUCUGUGGCGUUCCACCUCCCUCUAAUGUGAGUUACAAGGUACCCCAGCCUCAACCCUGCUGCUCUUUGGGACCAGAGCAUCCUGGGAAACUAUUGUAGCAACUGAAAUAUCUUUAGACAUUACCAAAUUUCCCCUGGGGCCAAAGUGAGCCCUGAUAAAAACCAGUACCUGACACCUGGACCUCCAACCUAAGGGCACACUAAUGCCUCCUGGAAGAUUCUUUAAACCUCACACUCCUGAGCCCCACCCCCAGAGGUCCAGCCUUCCUUAGGGAGUCCACAGGACCCUGCUUUGAGAACUACUGUCCAGGUGUCUUAUGAACACAGCGUCAGGCAGUAGAAAGGUAAGGUACCGAGCUGAACCCCUGAACAGAGAGACCUGACUCCCUGGGAGUGUGCAAGAUUGGAGACUAACUCAAGACUGACAGAUUAGCAAGAGUCAUAGACUUAAAGGCUAGGGAGAACACCGUGAAGGGAGGCAGCUGUGUGCUUAGAAGGAGCCUAUUCAGGAAAAUAGACGAAGGCCGAUCCAGAGAGGUCAGAUAGAGGGGUUAGGCGGCUGAGGAGGGUUGUUUGCAGAGGAGCUCAGGGCUAGACGGCUCAGAGCCAGAUGGAAAAGUAUAUUGCCUGGAGCCAGCAGAGCCCUCAGUAGACCGCUCUACCUGAAUGGAGAGCCAUCAGCUCUAGAAGUGGCUGAAUGUCUCAUCUGUGAAUGGCCAAAUGAGUCUGGCCGUGGCAAGCAGAGAUAAUGUGCAAAGAUACCCCUAAUCAUCGAGCCAGGGGACAGAGAUAGACACGCACCCGCAGCUGCUCAGGAGAGCAGCAUGCUCAGUGACCCAGGAGACAGGCGUGCCGUGCGUAGCCCCGGGGCAGUGGCAGUGCAGUCACUUGGCAGCUGCACAGUGGGGCUGGCUGGCUGCAGUGGCUUGAACCAGCUCUGCCCUGACACAAAUGGCUCUGGGAUCCACUUCUAGCCUGUGGCUUGGGGACACACAGCCAGGCCAAAACUUAGUGGUAAAAUCAAGCCAGCUGGCUCAAGGGGCCUAUCCCAAUGACCCCCCAGACUCCACAUCCCAGAGACAGAAUUUCAAAAGCCAGAAUUUGAAGCAGAGACUACGCCGACUUGUGGCUAGCUGGGAUGCCCCUGUGUGAGUUACAGACGAGACAGUCUCUUCCCUAGCAGCUAGAAACCAGACACAGUCCUGAACCUGUUGCUUGGGACAUUUUAUCUCUCACUCUAGAGCUGUAAGAGACAUUUUCUCCCCUCCUGUACGGAAGAGGAACCAGAGAGUCGGGGUGGCUGUUGGGAAAGCGACUGAGCUGGAAUUCCAUCCAGACCCACCUCUGAAGACCGUGUUAAAUGUGGCUUUUCUGCCUCUUAACACGGCGUUUAUGUUCCCUCCACAUCCCCUCAUAGAGAUGUCAUGAGAAUCAGACAGGACAGAUCUGAGCAUUACAACUCUGAGAUUGUAAUCACAGUCACAGAAGUCCCGAGCCUUCUGCUCUCAAGAGCCAGACGUGCUUGCCUCCAGACAUCAGGAGAGACGUUUCAGCCAGCCUGGGCAGGGGCUGAGGCUGGGGCUGGGUCUGAGAAUCAAAUUGGGGUGUCCCCCAAAACAGGUCCUCACCCACCCCCACACAGUGUGCUGAAGCAUCCAAAAUUAAAUUUCAUGCCUGGCUGCACAGAGAUACCAACUCAGCCCCGUGUGUUUACGGCUCGAGGAGGAGAUAAGAUUUGAUUAAGAAGGCCGCUAUUAAUUUAUGGAGUACGCCGGCGCGGAGGGAGAGGCUGCUUUUAAUUAAUAGCCAGAAGGAGUUUACGCUUUUGGUCUCAGCAAGGGGGAGAGGGCUGGGAGGCUCGACAGAGGAUGAAUUGAUCCAGACACACUCUCACCUUCUCUCUGAAGAGGAUAUAAAUAAAUAAAGGCAAUGGGUGGGAAGGAGAGAAGCAGGCCGUUCUGGCUCCAGAGAAUGGCAGGUAGGCUGGAAAGCCAGCCGGCAGUGGGGGAGAAACGAGAGGAUGUAGGAAGAGGAAAGGGAAGAAGGGGGAGAAGGAAGGAAGAAAGUGGAAGGAGGAGGUAGGAGGAGGAGAAGGGAGGAGGAGGAGGAGGAGGAGGAGGAAGAGGAGGAGGAGGAAGGAGAAGGUCUAGAGGGAAGGGAAAGAGAAUUCAGUUUACAAAGUAAGUCUUUACAAGUAUGACCUUGCCCUGGCUUUCCCACAGCCCCGGGAGGCAGACAGAUAGUCAAUUCUAGAAUAACACGAGCCAGGGGGAGGGGAGAGGAUGCAAACUUCUCAGAAGAGGCUCCAAUGGCUGUUUCAGCUCCCUUCUGCAACAUCGAUGCUACCAUCCAGAUGUCGUUCCUGCCACCCACCUCUUGUCCCUGCAUGUGUCGGACUCUACAGGGAUGGCUGUAGAUGUGCCCAUUUAGUAGGGGUGAAACUCUGAUAGGUCCACUUGGUGCCUAUGGAAGGUGCUUGAGUGCCCCCACCCCAAACACACACACAGAGGAAAUGGCAGAGUAGAUGCUCAGAGCCACAACAAUGCUCACGUGGAUCCUUACCUGGCUUAUAGCUACUAACACACUGUAAAGGCUGAGCGUAAACAGUCUAUUGCUUGGGAACCCUGACAGUGUGUUUUGUACAGACAGAACUUGGGAAGUCGUUUUUCAUCUGACGCCGGUUGUCAGUCACUGGGCACAGAGCAUGUGGGUACAAGACAAGGGGCGGGCUCUGUGUACUUCUGGUCUUAAUCUUAUAUUAGACAAGAAAUGUGGGAUUUGGAGAAGCCUAGUGGCUUAACAAGGGCAAAUAAUUGUUGAGCAGAGUCACCUUCUCUAUUACACUGUCUAGGCUCAGAGGGAGGAGACCUUUGCUUAUUCAGGCUUCAGGGAGUGGCUGCUGAGAAGAGAGCAGCCAGGCUUGGUGGAGGGUUGGGAGGGCAGGAAUCCCUGGGAAACUGAGCCUGCACACCCUGCCUGGUUGGGGGAGCUCUGGCCCUGGGCCUGGCCUGCCCGUUGUUUUCCAUUCCCAACACACCACACAUGGAACUUACUCUUACAGAGUUUGAGAUCUGAAAGGAACUCCGAGACUCUUUAGUUGAUUGGUGCUCAGAGUGUAACACACAGACUGGCAGAACCAGCACUACCCAGCCACAUCCGAGUGCCGGGGCAGGCCCGAGGAACUGCUAUACAACAAACCUUCUUGGUGAUUCCCUCUGCCAGUCUCUUGAAAGCAGACUCCAUUUUACAGACGGUGAGACUGAGGCCCAAAAAGACCCCCCUGAGUGUCCCAAGAGUAUAAAACUUGAUGGCAGACGUGGUAGGAACUAGUCUUGGACAGACUACUAACUCUCAGCUCAGUGACAUUUGUGCAGAUUAAACCUUAUUAGCUGCUUCCCUGGCUGUGCCAAAAUACCCAACAAGAAACAGCUAAAGGGAGGAAGGAUUUAUUUUGGCUCGCAAUGUGAGGGCACGGUCCAUCAUGGUGGCUAUGCAUGGGGACAGGUGCUGGGAGCAGCUACGCGUGUGACAGGAAGCAGGAAAAGAUGGAGGCUGGUACUCAGCUCAAUUUCUACUUUUUUGCAAUGAUCCGAGCCUAGGGGAUGGUGCUACCCUUAGGCACGGAAGGUCUUCUCAUCUCACUUAACCUAAUACAGACAUUCCCUUACAGACAUGCCUGGCUGUUUGUCCUCUGGCCAUUCUAGAUUCUAUCAAACUGGUAGCCAAUGGCAACCAUCACAGCCCCCAGCAGAAUGCCAAGGAAAGGGCAUACGAACCAGGCAGGGCUGGCUUCAGAUCACAGCUUCUAGCUUCAUGGCUCUGUGUAUGUUUCUCAGCCUCUUUGUGUAUUAGCUUCCCACGUCUUAAGUGUCUGAGCACCCUCGGCAAGCUGGCACCACAGAGUGCCAGGCAGGGUGACAGCAAGAAGCCAGCACUAGGUCACUACUCCACAAUGCCUUUGGGACAGAGCAGGAGUGAGUUCUGAGCAGAGUAGACUUUCCUCUGUCCCCUUCUUCCCGUCUUUCAUCUUCCCUCAGAUGCUGGCUUCUAAUCAGCGGUGACCACAGAUGAGCGGUCGUCAGCAUCCAUCACUGCCAGCAAAUCGCCAGGUGUCAACCUCUGAGUCCCUGCUGCUAAAUCACUCUGUGCUCUGUGACGGAGAUUGGAGACCAGAAACCAAAGCCAGGGAUAUGCUAGUGGGAGGACAGGAAGGGACUGUGAUCGAAAUGAGAGGCCCAGUUUCUGUGCAGAGCAUGACACAUGUGGGGAAACUGAGGCUCAGAGAAGACAUGUGGUACCCAAAGUCCACAUUAUAGGCUCUGGCAGAGCUAAAAAUGAACUCUGCCUUGAAUCACUCACUGACUCAAGGUCCCUGUCCCCAGGGUGUCUAGCAAACACAUACUAUUCCAUGAAAUACUACCAUGCUGAGGCCAGCCCCAUGCAGAGCCCCAUCUAAGCCUGACGACAGAACAGUGUAGAGGUAGACCUAUCCUAUCCUAUCCUCCAAGGGGGUUGUGGGUCUCUUAAGAGAAGGUAAGAAGAUGCCCUUUUUGGGCACAGAGCAUCUGUGUCCAGGAUAUACUAGCAGAGUGAGCCCACUCCACCCUAUUCUACCAGCAGCCUCUUGGGGUAGGAUAGCUCUGUGUAUGGACACCUCACCUGACCCAUCCUGGGCCUCUGACUCCUACCUAUACCACACCUGGGGGUUGCUGGCUACCCAUUCUAUAACUGGGAGUGAGUGGGACAGAUUCCCCAUGGCCAUUCCCAGCUACCCAGCUCUCCCAAUAGCCACCAUGUAGGGGCUUCCAGCUUUGGGCACCACGUCUUUUCAUUGGCCUGCAAUGCCAAUGAAACUCUGGUCAUCCUGCAAUGGCUAAAUCCCUGCCUCCCCAGCCCCUCCGAGCCACCUCUAUGAAGCAAUCCAGGUGUCUUUCCUGGCUGCAGCCUGUCCACUGAGGUCCAGUCUGCAUGCCGAAAGGGACCAAUCCCCACUGACACACAGAGGUCACAAGUGUGAGUAGCAUUUCCCAACCCUUCCCCACCUCAUCUGUAUGCUCUCUUAUGACAGGACCCCUGGUCCUGAAGGGGAGAGUCACAGACAAGUGAGGAGGAGGCCACCCCUGCCCUACUCCUCUUGGUGUGUAUGUAACAAUCUGAGUAGCCUCAGUUUGUCAGCAGAGGUGAGUCCAGGCAAGGCACAGGGCACAGGUAGCCCUGUCUUUCUUCCUCUCCAGUUAGCCAGCCUUCCUCUUUGCCUUUAGGGUGAGGGAGACUGGCUGUGCCUUAAGGAAGGAAAUGGGAUUCUUCAUAUAGACUGGGAAACUGAGUCCAAAGAACAUCAGCCCACCUGCAUAAGGGACAACCUAUACCCACUGUUCGAUGUGCUCACUCAGAGCAGGAAAAAUGUGGUCAAGGUUCCUGCGAGGUUAGGUGGAUCAACCACAGGGUUCUAUCCUUCAUCCCAUGAGUAUUUAUUAAGUGACCCCUGGUGCUGUGAAGACAGAGACAGGCAAGAGAUCGCCCUGGUUUAGAGGGAGAGAAAAAGAUUAUCUUAACACUUAUUUGAGCAGUAGAGGAAGUGACAGGUCUGACGAUAGUCACCAAUGGAUCCAUGACCUAGAAUCGGGGGCAGGAUUGGGGAUCUUCCCAAAGGAGGCAUCGGUUCAGAUGACCCCUAAAGGAUAUAUGUAGGGGUCAGCAGACAAAA